AAACCAACAGGGAUUACCUCAGUAACGGCGAGUGAAGCGGUAACAGCUCAAAUUUGAAAUCUGGGUCUUUCAGGCUCCGAGUUGUAAUUUGUAGAAGAUGCUUCGGGUGCGGCUCCGGUCUAAGUUCCUUGGAACAGGACGUCAUAGAGGGUGAGAAUCCCGUAUGUGAUCGGUUGCUUGCGCCCAUGUGAAGCUCUUUCGACGAGUCGAGUUGUUUGGGAAUGCAGCUCAAAAUGGGUGGUAAAUUUCAUCUAAAGCUAAAUAUUGGCCAGAGACCGAUAGCGCACAAGUAGAGUGAUCGAAAGAUGAAAAGCACUUUGGAAAGAGAGUUAAACAGUACGUGAAAUUGUUGAAAGGGAAGCGCUUGCAACCAGACUUGCGCGUUGCCGAUCAUCCGGGGUUCUCCCCGGUGCACUCGGCCUCGCUCAGGCCAGCAUCGGUUUUGGUGGUGGGAUAAGGGCCUUGGGAAUGUAGCUCCUUUCGGGGAGUGUUAUAGCCCUCGGUGCAAUGCCGCCUACCGGGACCGAGGACCGCGCUUCGGCUAGGAUGCUGGCGUAAUGGUUGUAAGCGAC
This 572-nucleotide ribosomal RNA is filed under the name uncultured fungus. RNAcentral describes it as "eukaryotic LSU rRNA". It matches the Rfam family "Eukaryotic large subunit ribosomal RNA", at positions 62 to 648 of the family's 3401-position model. Lineage: Eukaryota; Fungi. The record is from RNAcentral.